This 253-nucleotide ribosomal RNA is filed under the name uncultured bacterium. RNAcentral describes it as "partial 16S ribosomal RNA". It matches the Rfam family "Bacterial small subunit ribosomal RNA", at positions 524 to 776 of the family's 1533-position model. The record is from RNAcentral.
UACGAAGGGGGCUAGCGUUGUUCGGAAUCACUGGGCGUAAAGCGCACGUAGGCGGAUCUUUAAGUCAGGGGUGAAAUCCCGGAGCUCAACUCCGGAACUGCCUUUGAUACUGGGGAUCUCGAGUCCGGGAGAGGUGAGUGGAACUGCGAGUGUAGAGGUGAAAUUCGUAGAUAUUCGCAAGAACACCAGUGGCGAAGGCGGCUCACUGGCCCGGAACUGACGCUGAGGUACGAAAGCGUGGGGAGCAAACAGG